This 338-nucleotide long non-coding RNA is filed under the name Capsicum annuum. RNAcentral describes it as "long non-coding RNA (CANN_LNC011631)". Lineage: Eukaryota; Viridiplantae; Streptophyta; Magnoliopsida; Solanales; Solanaceae. The record is from RNAcentral.
UCCAGUCUUUUAAUCAUCUCCGCAAGAUCUUGACCAUUCGAUUGAUACACUUUUCUCUAAAUAUGAUUGAAAUUUGCAAACUGUACUUUGAUUUUAAGCAAAAAUUUAACCUUUGUUGUGAUUUCAGCGAUCUGCUUUGAUUGCAUGAUUUGUCCUCGAUUUUAAUUGGGACCUCAAGAGUAGAGCUAUAAUACCUCAACUCCGCCUCCACCACAAUUCAUGACAGCUGCAGAAAUGGGGUUUUUGUGUGGUUGAAAUUUUGUUGACAUGACUUAAAUGAUCUCAACUGCAUGGCGACAAAAUAAAAGAUUUAAUUUUCAUCAAUACUCUGUUCUUUU